Long non-coding RNA from Clarias gariepinus (North African catfish), 442 nucleotides. RefSeq lists it as uncharacterized. Lineage: Eukaryota; Metazoa; Chordata; Actinopteri; Siluriformes; Clariidae. The transcript is spliced from 3 exons. The record is from RefSeq and is a predicted model, not a curated record.
UGUUCUCCAUGCAACAUUUCGAGUUACACCAAUGCUUGGAGACUUGUGCAAAGGCCUCCAGCUGUAUGGACUGCUGGACAUACUUUAGGAGCAUCCAAAUCUUUGCAAGAGUCUGUUUGUUCCUGGGGAGGAUUGUAUGGAGGCAGAUCGGUCUCAUAAAUAAUUCACACAAAAGACACGAUGUUCACGUGCUGACGAAGGACCGGCAGAGCGAGGUGAUGUAUCCAGAGAUCAGUCCUCUUUUCCUCCAGGCUGACAACAAUCUCUUCCAGUUCGUCUCGCAGUUCGUGUGCCCCUGAUGGAAGAGCUUCGGGUUUAGACUGAAACAUCAGACCGGGGCCUUAGGAAGAAAGGAAAAAAAAAAACUGCAUUGGAUUAUUAUCUCGAUCUCUUUCACUUUUAUCACACACGGCGAUGUUAAUGAAGAGUGACGCAGCUCAUG